Molecule: ribosomal RNA, 435 nt
Filed under: uncultured Clostridiaceae bacterium
Lineage: Bacteria; Bacillati; Bacillota; Clostridia; Eubacteriales; Clostridiaceae
Description: bacterial SSU rRNA
Rfam family: Bacterial small subunit ribosomal RNA
Source: RNAcentral
ACGGGAGGCAGCAGUGGGGAAUAUUGCACAAUGGGGGAAACCCUGAUGCAGCAACGCCGCGUGAGUGAAGAAGGUUUUCGGAUUGUAAAGCUCUGUUAGCAGGGAAGAGGAAGGACGGUACCUGCAGAGGAAGCCACGGCUAACUACGUGCCAGCAGCCGCGGUAAUACGUAGGUGGCAAGCGUUGUUCGGAAUAACUGGGCGUAAAGGAUGCGUAGGCGGUUGAGUAAGUUAUGUGUUAAAUAUAUAGGCUUAACCUGUAGAAAGCACAUAAAACUGUUUAACUAGAGUGCAGGAGAGGUAAGUGGAAUUCCUAGUGUAGCGGUGAAAUGCGUAGAGAUUAGGAAGAACACCAGUGGCGAAGGCGACUUACUGGACUGUAACUGACGCUGAGGCAUGAGAGCAUGGGGAGCAAACAGGAUUAGAUACCCUGGUA